This 496-nucleotide ribosomal RNA is filed under the name uncultured bacterium. Its description in RNAcentral is "partial 16S ribosomal RNA". It matches the Rfam family "Bacterial small subunit ribosomal RNA", at positions 30 to 523 of the family's 1533-position model. The record is from RNAcentral.
AUUGAACGCUGGCGGAAUGCUUUACACAUGCAAGUCGAACGGUAGAGGGGGCAACCCCUCGAGAGUGGCGAACGGGUGAGUAAUAUAUCGGAACGUGCCCAGUCGUGGGGGAUAACGUAGCGAAAGUUACGCUAAUACCGCAUACGAUCUAAGGAUGAAAGCGGGGGAUCGCAAGACCUCGCGCGAUUGGAGCGGCCGAUAUCAGAUUAGGUAGUUGGUGGGGUAAAGGCUCACCAAGCCAACGAUCUGUAGCUGGUCUGAGAGGACGACCAGCCACACGGGAAAUGAGACACGGUCCAGACUCCUACGGGAGGCAGCAGUGGGGAAUCUUGGACAAUGGACGCAAGUCUGAUCCAGCCAUUCCGCGUGCAGGAUGAAGGCCCUCGGGUUGUAAACUGCUUUUGUACGGAACGAAAAGGUCUCUCUUAAUACGGGGGGCUCAUGACGGUACCGUAAGAAUAAGCACCGGCUAACUACGUGCCAGCAGCCGCCGUAA